This 503-nucleotide ribosomal RNA is filed under the name uncultured bacterium. RNAcentral's name for it is "bacterial SSU rRNA". It matches the Rfam family "Bacterial small subunit ribosomal RNA", at positions 22 to 518 of the family's 1533-position model. The record is from RNAcentral.
GGUCAGGAUGAACGCUAGCGACAGGCUUAACACAUGCAAGCGAGGGGCAGCACGGGAGUAGCAAUACUUUGGUGGCGACCGGCGCACGGGUGAGUAACGCGUAUGCAACCUACCUAUCAGAGGGGAAUAACCCGGCGAAAGUCGGACUAAUACCGCAUAAAACAGGGGCACCGCAUGGUGAUAUUUGUUAAAGAAAUUCGCUGAUAGAUGGGCAUGCGUUCCAUUAGGUAGUUGGUGAGGUAACGGCUCACCAAGCCGACGAUGGAUAGGGGAACUGAGAGGUUGGUCCCCCACACUGGUACUGAGACACGGACCAGACUCCUACGGGAGGCAGCAGUGAGGAAUAUUGGUCAAUGGGCGGGAGCCUGAACCAGCCAAGUCGCGUGAAGGAAGAAGGAUCUAUGGUUCGUAAACUUCUUUUGCAGGGGAAUAAAGUGCAGGACGUGUCCUGUUUUGUAUGUACCCUGAGAAUAAGGAUCGGCUAACUCCGUGCCAGCCGCAGC